ACUCCUACGGGAGGCAGCAGUAGGGAAUUUUCCGCAAUGGACGGAAAGUCUGACGGAGCAAUGCCGCGUGAGUGAUGAAGGUUUUUCGAAUCGUAAAGCUCUGUUGUAAGGGAAGAAUAGCAAGGAUAGGAAAUGAUCCUUGUCUGACGGUACCUUACCAGAAAGCCACGGCUAACUACGUGCCAGCAGCCGCGGUAAUACGUAGGUGGCAAGCGUUAUCCGGAAUUAUUGGGCGUAAAGCGCAUGUAGGCGGCUUUUUUAAGUCUGGUGUGAAAGCCUGUGGCUCAACCACAGAAUUGCAUUGGAUACUGGAAAGCUAGAAUCUUGGAGAGGUAAGUGGAAUUUCAUGUGUAGCGGUGGAAUGCGUAGAUAUAUG
RNAcentral lists this ribosomal RNA (376 nucleotides) under uncultured bacterium. RNAcentral describes it as "bacterial SSU rRNA". It matches the Rfam family "Bacterial small subunit ribosomal RNA", at positions 335 to 700 of the family's 1533-position model. The record is from RNAcentral.